CCUACGGGUGGCAGCAGUGAGGAAUAUUGGUCAAUGGACGAGAGUCUGAACCAGCCAAGUAGCGUGAAGGAUGACUGCCCUAUGGGUUGUAAACUUCUUUUAUAUGGGAAUAAAACGUUCCACGUGUGGGAUUUUGUAUGUACCAUAUGAAUAAGGAUCGGCUAACUCCGUGCCAGCAGCCGCGGUAAUACGGAGGAUCCGAGCGUUAUCCGGAUUUAUUGGGUUUAAAGGGAGCGUAGGUGGAUUGUUAAGUCAGUUGUGAAAGUUUGCGGCUCAACCGUAAAAUUGCAGUUGAGACUGGCAGUCUUGAGUACAGUAGAGGUAGGCGGAAUUCGUGGUGUAGCGGUGAAAUGCUUAGAUAUCACGAAGAACUCCGAUUGCGAAGGCAGUUCACUAGACUGCCACUGACACUGAGGCUCGAAAGUGUGGGUAUCAAACAGGAUUAGAUACCCCUGUAGUC
RNAcentral lists this ribosomal RNA (460 nucleotides) under uncultured bacterium. Its description in RNAcentral is "partial 16S ribosomal RNA". It matches the Rfam family "Bacterial small subunit ribosomal RNA", at positions 338 to 795 of the family's 1533-position model. The record is from RNAcentral.